RNAcentral lists this unclassified non-coding RNA (277 nucleotides) under Hyphoderma sp. RNAcentral describes it as "partial internal transcribed spacer region". The stretch from base 1 to 46 matches the Rfam family "Eukaryotic small subunit ribosomal RNA", at positions 1786 to 1831 of the family's 1831-position model. Lineage: Eukaryota; Fungi; Basidiomycota; Agaricomycetes; Polyporales; Hyphodermataceae. The record is from RNAcentral.
AAGUCGUAACAAGGUUUCCGUAGGUGAACCUGCGGAAGGAUCAUUAAUGAAUUUAAUUGACAGGGUUGUCGCUGGCCUUUCCGGGCAUGUGCACGCCUUGCUCAUAUUCAUCCCUUCUAUACCUCUGUGCACUUUUCAUAGAUUGGCUUAGUUUAAAAGGAUUGUCUUGUACAGUCUGGGCCUCUCUAUGCAUUUUAUACAAACAUCUAUGUCUUAGAAUGUCUUUAUUGCAUAACGCAUAUAAAUACAACUUUCAGCAACGGAUCUCUUGGCUCUC